CUACUUAUUUUGUUGAAGGAUUGAUUUUUUUUCAUGGUAGAUUACUUUGUUUAGAAAUCAGACAUAAUGCUUUACUUUUUUAUGGGAGGACUGAUUUUUUUCUUAUAAAAGAUAAGAGAUUUCUAAAGAAAUAGGACCCUUAGGGUCCUAUAUAAACCUUUAUAUUUUUUAUGAAGAGGACAAUGAAUGAUUUUAUAAAUCUCACAAAUACUUGUGUCAAUCACUC
RNAcentral lists this long non-coding RNA (226 nucleotides) under Elaeis guineensis (African oil palm). Its description in RNAcentral is "long non-coding RNA (EGUI_LNC051382)". The record is from RNAcentral. Lineage: Eukaryota; Viridiplantae; Streptophyta; Magnoliopsida; Arecales; Arecaceae.